This 450-nucleotide ribosomal RNA is filed under the name uncultured crenarchaeote. Its description in RNAcentral is "bacterial SSU rRNA". It matches the Rfam family "Archaeal small subunit ribosomal RNA", at positions 453 to 903 of the family's 1478-position model. The record is from RNAcentral. Lineage: Archaea; Thermoproteati; Thermoproteota.
UGGUGUCAGCCGCCGCGGUAAAACCAGCACCUCAAGUGGUCAGGAUGAUUAUUGGGUCUAAAGCAUCCGUAGCCGGCUCUGUAAGUUUUCGGUUAAAUCUGUACGCUUAACGUACAGGCUGCCGGGAAUACUGCAGAGCUAGGGAGUGGGAGAGGUAGACGGUACUCGGUAGGAAGUGGUAAAAUGCUUUGAUCUAUCGAUGACCACCUGUAGCGAAGGCGGUCUACCAGAACACGUCCGACGGUGAGGGAUGAAAGCUGGGGGAGCAAACCGGAUUAGAUACCCGGGUAGUCCCAGCUGUAAACUAUGCAAACUCAGUGAUGCAUUGGCUUGUGGCCAAUGCAGUGCUGCAGGGAAGCCGUUAAGUUUGCCGCCUGGGAAGUACGUACGCAAGUAUGAAACUUAAAGGAAUUGGCGGGGGAGCACCACAAGGGGUGAAGCCUGCGGUUC